AUGAACUCGUAUGUUUCCACUCAACUUAAGGAGUGUAAGAAGCUACCACUGAAACUGAUGGGGGUAACCAUGUGGUUACAGGCAAAUGAGCACUCACCAUGUGGAUAUACGUCUGUGGCUGCCAACAUGUUACAGGAGCUUGGAGAGAAGUUGAAGCUCCUUACAAGUAUGAGACUGGUUUCCCUCAGGGACUUAUGAAUGCUAACCUGUAGCUGGAGAGAACUCGCUGAGAGGGCUGAUUACCGUAAAUGGCACCAGAAGUCACUAGGGUACAAAAGUAUGAGGUCCAGGAGAAGCCAGGCCUUAGAGAAGAUUAAGAGUGGUGCUCCAGGGUUCAAAUGUACAGAGUAUGAAACCACUGCCAUCAGAAAAGAACGACACAUGAAAAGCUUUGCUCUACCAGCCUGUGCUACAAAGGAAAAAUGAAAACCUGAGACAGCAUCAAACAUGCCUGUAGGAAGUAAAGAGAAGAGCAAACAUCCAAGGUGAAAGAAGUGGAGUUUGACAAACCAAUUAUUUUCUGGCAUUAUGGUGAUCACAGAGAAGAAACUUUCUCCAAGACAUGGAAAGUUCAGGCUGCCAUGACUGUCACACCAGAGCUGACAUAUGGCAAACUUCAGAUCCCAGUGGUCAAGAAAGCAGGCAGAGGACAAAGAAGAGUGCACUGUGGGUUGAAUGAUGG
Long non-coding RNA from Calidris pugnax (ruff), 682 nucleotides. RefSeq lists it as uncharacterized. The record is from RefSeq and is a predicted model, not a curated record. Lineage: Eukaryota; Metazoa; Chordata; Aves; Charadriiformes; Scolopacidae. The transcript is spliced from 3 exons.